AUUGAACGCUGGCGGCAUGCCUUACACAUGCAAGUCGAACGGCAGCGCGGGGCAACCUGGCGGCGAGUGGCGAACGGGUGAGUAAUAUAUCGGAACGUACCCUGGAGUGGGGGAUAACGUAGCGAAAGUUACGCUAAUACCGCAUACGAUCUAAGGAUGAAAGUGGGGGAUCGCAAGACCUCAUGCUCCUGGAGCGGCCGAUAUCUGAUUAGCUAGUUGGUGGGGUAAAGGCCUACCAAGGCAUCGAUCAGUAGCUGGUCUGAGAGGACGACCAGCCACACUGGAACUGAGACACGGUCCAGACUCCUACGGGAGGCAGCAGUGGGGAAUUUUGGACAAUGGGCGAAAGCCUGAUCCAGCAAUGCCGCGUGAGUGAAGAAGGCCUUCGGGUUGUAAAGCUCUUUUGUCAGGGAAGAAACGGUGAGGGCUAAUAUCUCUUGCUAAUGACGGUACCUGAAGAAUAAGCACCGGCUAACUACGUGC
This 483-nucleotide ribosomal RNA is filed under the name Zoogloea sp. S22235. Its description in RNAcentral is "bacterial SSU rRNA". It matches the Rfam family "Bacterial small subunit ribosomal RNA", at positions 30 to 508 of the family's 1533-position model. The record is from RNAcentral. Lineage: Bacteria; Pseudomonadati; Pseudomonadota; Betaproteobacteria; Rhodocyclales; Zoogloeaceae.